UACGUAGGUGGCAAGCGUUGUCCGGAUUUACUGGGCGUAAAGAGCGCGCAGGCGGUCGUUCAAGUCGCGUGUGAAAGCCCCCAGCUCAACUGGGGAGGGUCACGCGAUACUGAUCGACUGGAAGGCAGGAGAGGGUAGUGGAAUUCCCGGUGUAGUGGUGAAAUGCGUAGAUAUCGGGAGGAACACCAGUGGCGAAGGCGACUACCUGGCCUGUUCUUGACGCUGAGGCGCGAAAGCUAGGGGAGCAAACGGG
RNAcentral lists this ribosomal RNA (253 nucleotides) under uncultured bacterium. RNAcentral describes it as "partial 16S ribosomal RNA". It matches the Rfam family "Bacterial small subunit ribosomal RNA", at positions 524 to 776 of the family's 1533-position model. The record is from RNAcentral.